UCCCUGGUAGCUCAGAUGGUAAAGCGUCUGACUACAAUGCAGGAGAUCUGGGUUCGAUGCCUGGUCGGGAAG
RNAcentral lists this transfer RNA (72 nucleotides) under Bos taurus (domestic cattle). It matches the Rfam family "tRNA". From Rfam's summary of the family: Transfer RNA (tRNA) molecules are approximately 80 nucleotides in length. Their secondary structure includes four short double-helical elements and three loops (D, anti-codon, and T loops). Lineage: Eukaryota; Metazoa; Chordata; Mammalia; Artiodactyla; Bovidae. RNAcentral also lists the same sequence under 1 other name. The record is from Rfam by way of RNAcentral.